CGUUCCUACGGGACGCAGCAGUGAGGAAUAUUGGUCAAUGGGAGAGAUCCUGAACCAGCCAAGCCGCGUGAGGGAAGACGGCCCUAUGGGUUGUAAACCUCUUUUGUCGGAGAACAAAACCCGGGACGUGUCCCGGACUGCGUGUAUCCGAAGAAAAAGCAUCGGCUAACUCCGUGCCAGCAGCCGCGGUAAUACGUAGGUGACAAGCGUUGUCCGGAUUUACUGGGUGUAAAGGGCGCGUAGGCGGGAUAGCAAGUCAGUCGUGAAAUGCCGAGGCUUAACCUCGGAGCUGCGAUUGAAACUGU
RNAcentral lists this ribosomal RNA (305 nucleotides) under uncultured bacterium. RNAcentral's name for it is "bacterial SSU rRNA". It matches the Rfam family "Bacterial small subunit ribosomal RNA", at positions 334 to 636 of the family's 1533-position model. The record is from RNAcentral.